RNAcentral lists this ribosomal RNA (308 nucleotides) under uncultured Leptosphaeria. Its description in RNAcentral is "partial large subunit ribosomal RNA". It matches the Rfam family "Eukaryotic large subunit ribosomal RNA", at positions 40 to 350 of the family's 3401-position model. Lineage: Eukaryota; Fungi; Ascomycota; Dothideomycetes; Pleosporales; Leptosphaeriaceae. The record is from RNAcentral.
AUAUUAAUAAGCAAAGGAAAAGAAAUCAACUGAGAUUGCCUUAGUAACGGCGAGUGAAGCGGCAACAGCUCAAAUUUGAAAUCUGCCUCUAGGCCGAGUUGUAAUUUGUAGAAGAUGCUUCGGGUGUGGCACCGGUCUAAGUUCCUUGGAACAGGACGUCACAGAGGGUGAGAAUCCCGUACGUGGCCGCUGGCCUUCGCCAUGUAAAGCCCCUUCGACGAGUCGAGUUGUUUGGGAAUGCAGCUCUAAAUGGGAGGUAAAUUUCUUCUAAAGCUAAAUAUUGGCCAGAGACCGAUAGCGCACAAGUA